This 29-nucleotide non-coding RNA is filed under the name Rattus norvegicus (Norway rat). Lineage: Eukaryota; Metazoa; Chordata; Mammalia; Rodentia; Muridae. The record is from RNAcentral.
UAGUAAACAAGGUCCUUUGGUUUCUUAGG